CCUACGGGUGACAGCAGUGAGGAAUAUUGGUCAAUGGACGAGAGUCUGAACCAGCCAAGUAGUGUGAAGGAUGACUGCCCUAUGGGUUGUAAACUUCUUUUAUAUGGGAAUAAAAUGUUCCACGUGUGGGAUUUUGUAUGUACCAUAUGAAUAAGGAUCGGCUAACUCCGUGCCAGCAGCCGCGGUAAUACGGAGGAUCCGAGCGUUAUCCGGAUUUAUUGGGUUUAAAGGGAGCGUAGGUGGAUUGUUAAGUCAGUUGUGAAAGUUUGCGGCUCAACCGUAAAAUUGCAGUUGAAACUGGCAGUCUUGAGUACAGUAGAGGUGGGCGGAAUUCGUGGUGUAGCGGUGAAAUGCUUAGAUAUCACGAAGAACUCCGAUUGCGAAGGCAGUUCACUGGACUGCAACUGACACUGAGGCUCGAAAGUGUGGGUAUCAAACAGGAUUAGAUACCCGAGUAGUC
This 460-nucleotide ribosomal RNA is filed under the name uncultured bacterium. RNAcentral's name for it is "partial 16S ribosomal RNA". It matches the Rfam family "Bacterial small subunit ribosomal RNA", at positions 338 to 795 of the family's 1533-position model. The record is from RNAcentral.